ACUGUUAGAGAUUUAUUCUCUGUUAAAAUACCUAGCCGAGUGCUCUGGUUGUGUCAGGAGGAUUGCUUGAUCCCAGGAGUUCCGGGCUGCUGUGCACUAUGCCGAUUAAGUGUCUGCAUCAAGUUCAGCAUCAGUAUGGUGACCUCCAGGUUGCCUGACGACUGGUGAACCAGCCUAGGAUGGAAAUGGGCAGGUCAAAACUCCUAUGCUGAUAGUGGUGGGAUUGCACCUGUGAAUAGCCACUGUACUCCAGCCUGGGCAGCAGUGAGACCCUGUCUCUU
Non-coding RNA from Homo sapiens (human), 281 nucleotides. The record is from Rfam. NCBI's taxonomy places the organism in Eukaryota, Metazoa, Chordata, Mammalia, Primates, Hominidae.